UGCCUCUGGGUUGGUGAACACAUCAGAUGCUGGGCAGGUGGUGUGUUGCCUCCCUCCAUACCAUGCAUCUCUUCCCUUUGGCUGAUCCUGAGGUGUAUCCCUUAGAAAUAAGCUGGUAAAUAAUAAUGCUGUGUGCUCCCUCUUUGCCUGCUACUGAACAAUGACGUCUCUUGUUGUGAACCCCACUGGCAGAGCACGGACCAUGGAAGCAUCUUUUGGCAGCAUCAGAGAACUGAGCAUCUCAAAGCAUGAGUUCUUCUGUUUCUUCUGCGUGGGUUGACCAUGGGCAUCAGGCAUCAGAGAUACAACUCUGGAUUUUGUCCAUCCAUUGCUGGGCACUCUGUCCAUCCUGGGCGCAGAAGUUAUACACACGUUUGCUGGUCUUGAGCUACAAAACCAAAUGACAGUGAACCAGAGAUGAAAGGCAGGGCUGUUUUAUGGAUUUGGGAGUCUACUGCUAAGAUUUCAGCAUGUCCUGUGGCUGAGUUAAUCAGAGUUAUGACAGGAAGGUACCGGGCACACCAUCGCAGUGCUCCAUCAAUGCUAGUAUGUUGUGUUCUUUCCUUCAUAUCAAGUCAACUCAAGCUUGCUCUACUUACCUGGUGUACACAGUCUAAGAACUGUAAGAAGACUGGAGC
This 638-nucleotide non-coding RNA is filed under the name Pan troglodytes (chimpanzee). The record is from RNAcentral. Lineage: Eukaryota; Metazoa; Chordata; Mammalia; Primates; Hominidae.